Danio rerio (zebrafish) is the source of this 115-nucleotide non-coding RNA. NCBI's taxonomy places the organism in Eukaryota, Metazoa, Chordata, Actinopteri, Cypriniformes, Danionidae. The record is from Rfam.
GCUGGCAGCUAGCUCUCUGCAACUCUCACAUGGUCGCCCACUGAAGCUAAGCAGGGCUGCGCCCGGUCAGUACCUGGAUGGGAGACCACUUGGGAAAGCUAGGUUGCUGCCGGAA